AGGCUCAGAGGCUCCAUCGUCGAGGUGGCCAACGACACCUGGGCGAAGGGAAGGGCAAUGGUCAGCUCCCGCUCAAGUCUCAACUCGAGCGCCUGGGACGCAUAGGGCCCAAUCGCCAGGGUCGCUCGGUUCGUGCCGGCCUGAAUCCAUUGAGCGAGAGCCCACCUCUGGCGAAACCUUCACUAGGCUCCUGGGCCUCUUAUUCAAGUGGCCCGGGCCAAACCCCAGCCCCGAUUGCAUCCUCAGCCGAGUCAACCAGAUCAUUUAGGGGUUUGAAGCUCGACUCGGCUCAGUGACUCACCUGAGUCGCCCCAACACUGUCACACAAGUCAGCUCCAUCGUCGGCCGGCCAGUCCUUUGGGGGGAGCAACGACGCGCCACUUUCAUCGGCUUCUACCACCCGUCGGAGUCCGGCAGCAAACCGGGGAAGCUCAGGUGGAUAAAGGGGGAACACGGCCGAGAGGAAGACGAGGCCAACCCUGACAAUUAUGGGGUUGACUUGGUCAUCUUUCUCGGCCAUGGUGGCCGGAUCUUCGACAUCGCUAACCAAGGGUCGAAGAUCAAUCCUUGGUCUAACACAUCGUACUAGAGUCCAGCUCACCGCCGACCCCUGAGUCACCACCCACCUCAACCACCAUAAGAGCCGGAGAUUGCGGCCAAUCCUGUGCUUUCACCACCUCCGCUACCAACUCCGGCACUGGAAACUUGUAGUUGACCUUGACUUGCCCAAUUCGCCCAUACCAAUAGCAAAAAUUGAAAACAUUGUCAUACACAAAAGGCUGCCAUAAAACCUUGUUUUUG
Molecule: long non-coding RNA, 801 nt
Filed under: Phoenix dactylifera (date palm)
Lineage: Eukaryota; Viridiplantae; Streptophyta; Magnoliopsida; Arecales; Arecaceae
Description: long non-coding RNA (PDAC_LNC017866)
Source: RNAcentral